GCGGAUGUGGUGGAAUUGGUAGACACGCUAUCUUGAGGGGGUAGUGGCGCAAGCUGUGUGGGUUCGAGUCCCACCAUCCGCA
RNAcentral lists this transfer RNA (82 nucleotides) under Pseudofulvimonas gallinarii. It matches the Rfam family "tRNA". From Rfam's summary of the family: Transfer RNA (tRNA) molecules are approximately 80 nucleotides in length. Their secondary structure includes four short double-helical elements and three loops (D, anti-codon, and T loops). The record is from Rfam by way of RNAcentral. Lineage: Bacteria; Pseudomonadati; Pseudomonadota; Gammaproteobacteria; Lysobacterales; Rhodanobacteraceae.